AUUGAACGCUGGCGGCAGGCUUAACACAUGCAAGUCGAGCGGAGCGAGGGUGCUUGCACCUUAGCUUAGCGGCGGACGGGUGAGUAAUGCUUAGGAAUCUGCCUAUUAGUGGGGGACAACAUUCCGAAAGGGAUGCUAAUACCGCAUACGCCCUACGGGGGAAAGCAGGGGAUCUUCGGACCUUGCGCUAAUAGAUGAGCCUAGGUCGGAUUAGCUAGUUGGGGGGGUAAAGGCCUACCAAGGCGACGAUCUGUAGCGGGUCGGAGAGGAUGAUCCGCCACACUGGGACUGGGGCACGGCCCGGACUCCUACGGGGGGCAGCAGUGGGGAAUAUUGGACAAUGGGCGGAAGCCUGAUCCAGCCAUGCCGCGUGUGUGAAGAAGGCCUUUUGGUUGUAAAGCACUUUAAGCGAGGAGGAGGCUACUAGUAUUAAUACUACUGGGUAGUGGACGUUACUCGCAGAAUAAGCACCGGCUAACUCUGUGCCAGCCGCCGCAGUAA
This 501-nucleotide ribosomal RNA is filed under the name uncultured bacterium. RNAcentral's name for it is "partial 16S ribosomal RNA". It matches the Rfam family "Bacterial small subunit ribosomal RNA", at positions 30 to 523 of the family's 1533-position model. The record is from RNAcentral.